CCCCGGCUGCCGUCUCCAGGGCGCGGACCGACGCGGGAAGCGGGUCGGCGAGGGACGGGGACACAGUGCGCCGAAAUCCAUGUGGAAUCCAACACUGGGAGACAAUGCUGCGAGCGAAGGAAGGAAGACAAAAAGCUAAAGGAGCAGCCCUGCCCGUCGUUCCGAUUCUCCAGAAGUUCCUGAGAACGUACGAGAAGCACUGUGCACAGACUCGGACGUCCGUGUGCCCGGCCGUCAAGAGGGACCUGAAAGCCGGCAUUGACAAUGGACAGAUUCUCAGGAAGUUUAUACUUGUAAGACCUGAUGACUCCCCGCCAAGCAUCCCACCGAUUUCCUUGGAACCUUUGCUUAUGACAAUUCGAGAAGAGUGUUACACGCUGGGGAAAGAGAUCUGCAUCUGGGGCCUUCAACUGAGCAACCCAGAGAUUGCCAGACUCGCUUUGCUUCUGGAGUUGAAGGGGCGCAGCACCUGCCCGUUUACCACCCUAGAGCUCGUUGAUUGCAAGAUGGAUCCGUGGUCUCUCGGGAGACUUGGGGAGGCUCUGCAGUUCAGCAGUUUGCACUCUCUUGUCCUGGAUUACUGCAACUUUGGAAUUGAAGAAAUUGAGCGUAUUUUCUCAGGCCUGGAGAACAACCAAAGGCUCCAAGGCCUCAGCCUGCGUUACUGUGGUCCGGGGCCACGGAGCGGGCCGGCGCUGGGCUCGGUCGUAAGCCAGAGUGCUGUCCGUGAGCUGCACCUCGACGGCAAUUACUUGCAAUGUUCUGGAGCUCUGGCUCUGCUCAGACCCCUAGCAGAGUAUGCAGAGAUGCAGGGCAAAGGCUGGCCCACCACAUCCUCACCAGACGCCAGGAAUCCCCCUCAGCUGCUCGGAGUCAGCCACAGAGCAAGUUCAACUUUGAACCCGAUUACAAAGUCAUCUGGAGCUGUAACAGUGAAAACUACUUCAGGGAAGAAUAAGAGAAAGAAAGGAAUCAAGAAAAAAGUUAAAGGUUUGACUGAAGCUGGUCCUUGGUUAGUGAAAUUGCAUUUGGCAGAUAAUGGCAUAGAUGGAAAAGGAAACGAAGGAGAAAAAGGCUUCUUGGAAUUCACUCAGAUUUUAACAUGGAGGCUUUAUAUGAACUGCUCCAUUCCAUUUUCACCACAACCUUGUGAAAUAGGCAGAACAGCUCUUUU
Molecule: long non-coding RNA, 1174 nt
Filed under: Equus caballus (horse)
Lineage: Eukaryota; Metazoa; Chordata; Mammalia; Perissodactyla; Equidae
Description: lncRNA (ENSECAG00000053564.1)
Source: RNAcentral